This 726-nucleotide ribosomal RNA is filed under the name uncultured beta proteobacterium. RNAcentral describes it as "bacterial SSU rRNA". It matches the Rfam family "Bacterial small subunit ribosomal RNA", at positions 8 to 725 of the family's 1533-position model. The record is from RNAcentral. Lineage: Bacteria; Pseudomonadati; Pseudomonadota; Betaproteobacteria.
AGAGUUUGAUCAUGGCUCAGAUUGAACGCUGGCGGAAUGCUUUACACAUGCAAGUCGAACGGCAGCACGGAGAGCUUGCUCUCUGGUGGCGAGUGGCGAACGGGUGAGUAAUAUAUCGGAACGUGUCCAAUAAUGGGGGAUAACGAGUCGAAAGAUUCGCUAAUAUCGCAUACGCCCUACGGGGGAAAGCAGGGGAUCGUAAGACCUUGCGUUAAUGGAGCGGCCGAUAUCUGAUUAGCUUGUUGGUGAGGUAAAGGCUCACCAAGGCGACGAUCAGUAGCUGGUUUGAGAGAACGACCAGCCACACUGGAACUGAGACACGGUCCAGACUCCUACGGGAGGCAGCAGUGGGGAAUUUUGGACAAUGGGGGCAACCCUGAUCCAGCCAUUCCGCGUGAGUGAAGAAGGCCUUCGGGUUGUAAAGCUCUUUCGCAAGGGAAGAAAACUUAUGAUCGAAUAAAUCAUGAGGUUGACGGUACCUUGAUAAGAAGCACCGGCUAACUACGUGCCAGCAGCCGCGGUAAUACGUAGGGUGCGAGCGUUAAUCGGAAUUACUGGGCGUAAAGCGUGCGCAGGCGGUUUUGUAAGUCGGAUGUGAAAUCCCCGGGCUCAACCUGGGAACUGCGUUCGAAACUGCAAGGCUAAAGUGUGUCAGAGGGGGGUAGAAUUCCACGUGUAGCAGUGAAAUGCGUAGAGAUGUGGAGGAAUACCAAUGGCGAAGGCAGC